UUUAUGGAGAGUUUGAUCCUGGCUCAGGAUGAACGCUGGCGGCGUGCCUAAUACAUGCAAGUCGAGCGAACAGACGAGGAGCUUGCUCCUCUGACGUUAGCGGCGGACGGGUGAGUAACACGUGGAUAACCUACCUAUAAGACUGGGAUAACUUCGGGAAACCGGAGCUAAUACCGGAUAAUAUAUUGAACCGCAUGGUUCAAUAGUGAAAGACGGUUUUGCUGUCACUUAUAGAUGGAUCCGCGCCGCAUUAGCUAGUUGGUAAG
This 266-nucleotide ribosomal RNA is filed under the name Staphylococcus epidermidis. Its description in RNAcentral is "partial 16S ribosomal RNA". It matches the Rfam family "Bacterial small subunit ribosomal RNA", at positions 1 to 256 of the family's 1533-position model. Lineage: Bacteria; Bacillati; Bacillota; Bacilli; Caryophanales; Staphylococcaceae. The record is from RNAcentral.